Molecule: long non-coding RNA, 1003 nt
Filed under: Homo sapiens (human)
Lineage: Eukaryota; Metazoa; Chordata; Mammalia; Primates; Hominidae
Description: non-protein coding lnc-SMDT1-2:3
Source: RNAcentral
GUCCUAGUCCUAUUUGAACCUUGGACGACCCCCGGGGCUACCAGGAGUGAGCAGGUGGAAGGAGGAGACCCAGCCUCCUGAUCGUGGGGCGGGGGUGGGGGUCACACCUUCUGUGAUGGAGGAACUCAGUUUGGAUGCGUCACCCAGGUAUGACCUUGCAAGAGUCACCAAAAUUGCCGAGAGGCCCCAGUUAGCAUCCCAUUCCCAGAUGAUGGUCCAUGCCGGUGAGCAGUGAGGCCCGAGGACCCACAGUGCAAAAGGUUUGAACCGGGUCACUGCACCCCCUUCAUCCUCGAUUUCGUGAUUUAAACGGCACUCAGGACUAACUCAUCUUCCAUUCCCAAGGCCUUUCCUUCUGGUGUCAGCAGAAGGGACUUUGUACUCCAUAACAUAUGUUGCCCAAUGGGCUUUAUCUCAAAAACAAAAAAAGAGAAACAACAAAAAGUUAAAAAGCACUAAGAUGAACUUAAAGUGUAGAGUUUUUAUUAGUCUUCCUUUUGCUUUAUGUUUGUUUACACAAUCAGUGUUGUCAUCCGUUUAAAAUAAUGAGUUAUAAGAUAAUAUUUGCAAGCCUCACGGCAACCUCAAAUCAAAAAGCACACAAUAAGUGAGACCAACAACAAGAGGAAUUCUGGAAACUAUACAUACACGUGAAAAUUAAACAAUAUGGUCCGGAAUGGCCAGUGGUUCAAUGAAGAAAUUAGGAAGGAAAUUUGGCUGGGCACAGUAGCUUACACCUGUAAUCCCAGCACUCUGGGGGGCUGAGGCAGUCAGAUGACCUGAGAUAGGGAGUUCGAAAGCAGCCUGGCCAACAUGGUGAAACUCCGUCUCUACAAAAAAUACAAAAAUUAGCAAAGCAUGGUGGCAUGUGCCUGCAGUCCCAGCUACUAGGGAGGCUGAGAUGGGAGGAUUGCUUGAACCCAGGAAGUCAAGGCUGCAGUGAGCCCUGAUGGCAUCACUGCACUCCAGCCUCGGUGACAGAGCAAGACCCUGUCUCAAGAAA